Molecule: non-coding RNA, 189 nt
Organism: Peromyscus maniculatus bairdii (prairie deer mouse)
Lineage: Eukaryota; Metazoa; Chordata; Mammalia; Rodentia; Cricetidae
Source: RefSeq, a predicted model, not a curated record
CGUGUGCUAUUCUGAUCUGUUGGUGUCUUUGGGAAAUCAUCAGUUGUUGUGCCCUGUUGUUGUAUAAUAUGGAUGACUGGUGGGCACUCAUUAGAAUAAUACCUUCUAAUAUUUCUCUCAGAAACAUAUGCUAGUUUAUGAUUUGUUUCUGAGGUUGGAGGGAUGUUAAUCUGAGUAUUCCAUUGUUGC